RNAcentral lists this unclassified non-coding RNA (265 nucleotides) under Basidiomycota sp. RNAcentral describes it as "partial contains small subunit ribosomal RNA, internal transcribed spacer 1, and 5.8S ribosomal RNA". The stretch from base 1 to 47 matches the Rfam family "Eukaryotic small subunit ribosomal RNA", at positions 1785 to 1831 of the family's 1831-position model. The record is from RNAcentral. Lineage: Eukaryota; Fungi; Basidiomycota.
AAAGUCGUAACAAGGUUUCCGUAGGUGAACCUGCGGAAGGAUCAUUACAAAUCCACGUCUCUUUUGAGACAAGUUGAAAUGUUGAAGUGUGUGAUGUAUAUAUAUACAUGGGUGUUGUUUGGCCUUGUUCUUUGCUUCACGCAUCGAACAACCACAAUACUCUACUAUAUUAUUAUCUAUCCUCCUUCUACCCUUUUACAUGCGUUGAUCAGUUGUAUUCAUUUAAACUUUAACACAACUUAUAACAAUGGAUCUCUAGGCUCUU